GGGCCCGGCCCGGCCCUCGCUGCCGCCGCCGCCAUGUUGGGGAGGUCGCGGCCUGCGGGCCGGCCGGCGGGCGGCCGGGGAGCCCACCAGAAAACCCACGGGAUUUAGGUGCACGCAGCUCCUCGUGUGGCAUCGACGGGGUUUAGACACGCGGGGGUCCCAGUGUAGGAUCUACGCAACCUUAGAUGUGCAAGGUAGUGCAGUGUCUAUGGGCUUUGGAGACACGGGUCCCGAUGUAGGAUCUAUGCGACCUUAGACGUACAUAGCACAGUGCCCAAUGUAGUGUCUGUGGGCUUUAGACACGCAGGGAUCCCCAUGUAGGAUCUAUGUGACCUUAGACAUGCAUACACAGUGCCCAAUGUAGCAUCUACGGGCUUUAGAGACGCGGGGGUCCCGAUGUAGCAUCUACACGACCUUAGACAUGCAUAACGCAGUGCCCAGUGUAGUGUCUAUGGGCUUUAGAGACACAAGGGUCCCAAUGUAGGAUCUAGGCAACCUUAGACAUGCAUAACACAGUGCCCAGUGUAGUGUCUAUGGGCUUUAGAGACACAAGGGUCCCAAUGUAGCACCUGCACAACCUUAGAUGUGCAUACACAGUGCCCAAUGUAGUGUCUAUGGGCUUUAGAGAUGCAGGGGUCCUGAUGUAGCAUCUACACGACCUUAGACAUGCAUAGCACAGUGCCCAACGUAGUGUCUAUGGGCUUUAGACACACGGGGGUUCCCAUGUAGGAUCUAUGUGACCUUAGACAUGCAUACACAGUGCCCAAUGUAGUGUCUAUGGGCUUUAGACACACGGGGGUCCCGAUGUAGGAUCUAUGUGACCUUAGAUAUGCAUACACAGUGCCCAAUGUAGCAUCUACGGGCUUUAGAGACGCGGGGGUCCCGAUGUAGCAUCUACACGACCUUAGACAUGCAUAACACAGUGCCCAGUGUAGUGUCUAUGGGCUUUAGAGACACAAGGGUCCCAAUGUAGGAUCUACGCAACCUUAGACAUGCAUAACACAGUGCCCAGUGUAGUGUCUAUGGGCUUUAGAAACACAAGGGUCCCAAUGUAGCACCUGCACAACCUUAGAUGUGCAUACACAGUGCCCAAUGUAGUGUCUAUGGGCUUUAGACACGCAGGGGUCCCAAUGUAGGAUCUAUGCAACCUUAGACAUGCAUAGCACAGUGCCCAAUGUAGUGUCUAUGGGCUUUAGAAACACAAGGGUCCCAAUGUAGCAUCUGCACAACCUUAGAUGUGCAUACACAGUGCCCAAUGUAGUGUCUAUGGGCUUUAGACACGCAGGGGUCCCGAUGUAGGAUCUAUGCAACCUUAGACAUGCAUAGCACAGUGCCCAAUGUAGUGUCUAUGGGCUUUAGAAACACAAGGGUCCCAAUGUAGCAUCUGCACAACCUUAGACGUGCAUAGCAUGGUGCCCAACGCAGCGUCUAUGGGCUUUAGACACGCAGGGGUCCCGAUGUAGGAUCUACGCGACCUUAGACAUGCCUGGUUCUCAGUGUAGCACCUACACAGCUGUAGAUGCAUCGUGCCCAAUGUAGCGCCUAUGGGCUUUAGACACACAAAGCCACAUCCUGCAGAUGGGAUUAGUCCACGGGCCAAAUCCAGUGUGGGAUGAUCAGCAUCCAGAUCUUUCCAUGGGUGCAAUCCAGGACAAACCCGCAUGCUGGAUCUGACUGCAGAGUAACCUGGGUGCUGACACAAUCUGGCGCAGGGAGCCAUGUCAUCUAGCUUGCAGGGCUCCCCACGGUGUGGAAAUUGUGGGGGGGAAGCAGUGGCAGCAUUAAUGUCACUGCCACCGAAUUUCCAGACCCGUGGGGUGCCCCAUGGGCAGGACGGCAUGGCCCCGUGGGCCGCAUUCGACCCGUUGGUUGGAGGUUGAGCACUCCUGUUCCCGAGCACUAGCCAGCCUGUUGCGGUGUGCUCGGUAUGAAAUGGCAAUGGCAUGCCAAGAGGGAUGCCAAAGCACGCUCCUCUAGGGAGGACCAAGCCAGACCCAUGUCAGAUGCAAAAUACCAACACGCAGGAGUUAACGGAGUUCCCUAAGUUUCGUGGUUAUGGGAUCACAGCUGUGUGUUGAGCAGUGAGGUGGUUGCUGCGGUCUGUGGUCAAAGCUGUUUUGUCUGCGUGACAUCCUGGAGAGCGGCACAGGUGCUAAAUGGCUAUUUCAUGGGACAAGGCAGUGCUUUCCCACCUGGGACUUCUGCCCAGGAUGAGACCUCUUGUUCCUACCACAGUUCAGGAAAACGGGACAGUGUGCGUGAAAUGCAAAUGGCACUAAGAGUGUCUACUACCAGGAAUAGAAACUGCAGAACUGCAAGUACCUACUGCCACUUACCCAAGGAUGAAACAAUGAAAAGUAUUGACGUGAAACCUAAUAAUUUCUUAUUAUUGAUAUAUUACUAUUAUGCCCAGGCACCUCUGAAGAAGGCGGCAUAGAUAUGCCCCUUGUGACUAAUUAAAUAAGCGACACAAGAUCAGAGCCUUGUUUUGCUGCGUGCUGUAUGGACAUAAAAGAUAGUUCCCGCCCCAGACAGAAUGCAGCCUAAAUGGGGAUUAAGGCAUGACAGGGCAUCCAAAACAUGUACGAGUAGGAGGAAGGAGGCACAGAAUAAAAGGGUUUGCAUAUUGUGAGCACUGUAGUACAACUGGGGCUAACAAGGGGACUUGAAGAAGAGAGAUUUGGUUGGGAAGUUGUUAGGGGGUGGGGGUUCCCCCACAUAUAAGAGGCAGCAUAAAAAACAGCAAAAGAGGUGUCUGCGGGGUCAGGGGGGGACAACGUAUCAAGAGAAAAGGCGGGAUCAUUGGCAGGGAAAAGGGCACAGAGAUGAGUCUGUAGCUAUCACAACCCCCGUAAACACUCGUAGAAGAAACAGCUAAACAUGGAGUGACAAGACACUUUUACACUUCCAUAAAUGAUUUAUGAAGUGUUCAUGGAAAUGAGGUGGAAAAUGAAUUCCAAAUUUACAGUCUGCUGAGGAAAAUAUCUGUGGUAAUGAUCUUAAUUUAUAUAGUACAUUCCAUUCUCCAGGGUCCUUGGAGCACAGUUGGAUUCAACAGCAGUUUAGACAUCUGCAUAAAAGUCAUCAUAUUAGCCAAGUGUGUCAAUACCUUUCUGAUGGGGAUGUCCAGAGCUGAUUGCACUAUUCCACGUCGAGUUCAACCAGAGCCAGCUCAGGGCGAGCUGUUCAGUGCCUCCUCUCUGUUCUGGGAUUCGUUACCUCUGCGUGAAGGGUGAACUCGUCUCAAGCGGUAGGAGGGCACGUUCUGAGCAUGAAACAGAAGCAGAGGUCUGGGUUUUGAGUCCAAGGAUAAGGAUUUUGAUGUCUGCCCCUGAGGGUCUUAUUUAGAUGCCCAACCUGAAUGUCAUCAGCUCCAUUCCAGGGCAGCUCAGGGGUUGAACCAUGCUGUCACGGCAGGCUUGGAGCGGUGAUCCGGUGGCCCAGCUCUGCUCUCUUCCAAGGCCAGGUUACUCAAACAGGAAUGCUAACUCUACUCUUCAUUUCCCCUGUGUGGUCAGUGGAUCCUCCCUUCCUCCACAGGACCAUCUAGCUGCAAAGAGACGAGGUUCUGCCCAGUCCACCAGUCAUCUCCAACUGACCUGAUCUAUUCUCCCUCCAACUCUGACAGUGGCUGCAGGUAGAGCAGGGCAGAGAUAGCUGGCUCAGAGCCUCCCUUCAGUCCUUUUUCAUAGAUUUCACAGACAUCAGGGCUGGAAGGGACCUCGCAAGAUCAUCAGGUCCAGCCCCCUGCCCAAAGGGGCAGGAAGAUAAAUGUCCAAAUGUUUCUUGAAAAUGUCCAGAGUCGGUGCUUGCACCACCUCUGCAGGGAGUUUGUUCCAGGCCUUGGGGGCUCAGACGGUAAAGAAGUUUUUCCUUAUGUCCAGCCUAAAAUGGUCUUGCAGGAGUUUGUGACUGUUGGACCUUGUCAUCCCUUGGGGUGCCCUGGUGAACUUGCAUUCCCUCAGAUCCCGAUGCACCCCCCUGAUGUACUUAUAGGCUGCCACCAAGUCCCCCCUGAGCCUGCGCUUCUCCAAGCUGAAGAGUCCCAUGGCUCACAGCCUCUCUUCAUAAAGCCUGUUCUCCUGCCAUCUGAUCAUGCGUGUGGCUCUCCUCUUUCAAGCUUCUCCAUGUCCUUCCUAAAUUGUGGAGCCCAGAACUGGAUGCAGUACUCCAGCUGCAGCCUCACCAAGGCACAGUACAAUGGGAGGAUGACAUCCUGGGUCUUGUUUGAGAUGCAUCAGUAAGAUGAGAUGCAAGCCAGAGUUUUGUUUGCUUUGCCAGCUGCAGUAUUGCAUUGGUGGCUCAUGUUCAUCUUGUGAUCAGUCAUGACCCCCAAGUCUUUUUCAGUCAUGAAAGAGCUCUUUUUCACUGGGGGAAGUGGCUCUGUUCCAUCACAAAUGCUACAUGCCCUGGGGAUAUGGAUGACCAAGGGGGCAUGGGUCCAUGACCUGGAAAGUAAAGGUAGAAACCUAGGAAACAACAUACAGGUUGGGGCAGACACCCUCUUUUGUGUUUGUGCAGUACUUACCAGACUGGGGUCCUGGUUCAUACCUAGGGCUUCUACAUCCUACAUUGAUAUGAACAAUAAAUUAUAAUAGUGAUGUGUCAGUAGUUUCACCUAUCAUUACUUAGUGCUGUGGGUCUAAUUCCUAAAUGCAGUCAGGGCUUCAGUUUUGCAUGUCACCAGCCUGGCCUUUCAUUAUUUGUCAAAACAAAACCCAUUAGUAACUAAUAACUUUCAUUUUUCUAACGAACAGAAUAUUUGAAAACAGGAAGUGAUCAUGCUGGAGCUUAUAGACAGUCUUCUGUGCACUGUCCAUUGCCCCCAAAAAGGGACUUUUAGUAACAUGUACACAAAGAAACUACUUUGUGUUUGAGUCCACCCAUGCUACUGCUUACAUAGCGUCAACAAUCUGCCACGGCACUCAGUUAAGUAUGAAAGCAAGGUCUCAGCUAGAAAGAGUUUCAUCACAGAAGUAAUUAAUAGAUAAAGGAUGUGUUUAAAUGAAAUGUAGGCAGUCAUGUUUAUUAUAUUUCUUGUUUGCAAAAUUCCCCAGAAUUUUUGCCAAGGAUUUGUUUUUUAAAUAGGAACUGAAGAUUUUUAGCAUCAGUUUUAAUGCUUCCUUCUGGGUUAAUGAGUUUAUAUAGAAAGUUGGGGUGAUGCGUUCCUGUAACUCGCAUAACCUUUUUCCUUAAGAAGCUGCUCCCGAGUUUUAACUACGUGGACAGGGGGGUCAAACUCAUUUGGGCCCUUGAGCCAGAAGAGUGGUGUCCCCUGCCAACACAUGCCUGAUCCAGCACAGGUGGCAUCUACCUGGGCCAGUCUGGGAUGCCAGAGCUUGGGAGCACCCUUAGUGGGUACCACAGGCAGUGCAGCCCAGGACCAGACUGAGUGCCAUGGGCGGCUACUUCCCUUACUGUGAGUGCAGCUGGUCCAGGGCAGCACCAUGGGUUGGAUUACAGGGCUCCACAGGCCAGAUCCAACCCAUAGGCCAUAUAUUUGACUUGCAUGAUAUGACAUCUAUGUCUUGACUCCCAAAACAAGCACUCUACUUCCAGUUUAGUAACGGCCUGAUAUCUUGCGGUGGUCAGAGGAAACGCUACACGGACACACUGAAGGCAGACCUCAAGAAAACGGAUGCCGACAUCAAGAGCUGGGAGGAGCUGGCUGCUGACCAACUCCAGUGGUGCUGCAACCAAGCAGCAACCUGUUUUGAGGUCACUGUUUGAGACUGUCCAGGCAGAAGACCACUACUCCAAAGAAGACACAGCGACUUGCCUUUCAGUAACCAGCUCUUAGGGUGAAGGGCACAAGAGAAACCAGGCAAAGGAUGCUGCAGAGCAGAAAAAAUAGUUCCAGUUGCCUGUCCUGGGAGUGCAUGAACAUCCUAGAGGGACAUAUAUAUGGACAGCACAUUACAAAGAAUGCCGGGUCCAGUGAAGUAAGUGAUCUCCUUGUCUUUCCUUUCAAUUUAAAAAAAAAAAAAAAAAUAAAUAAAAAACUGAAUAGGGAGAAAAAUUGGAGGAAGACCUGAAAGAGACUAGAAUUAGAAAGAAGAAAGUCAGUUCCACUUAGGUUUACUAACUCUACCGUAACUGAAUAACAACUGAGAUCGCAACCCCACGCAAACAAAGGGAAUGUCGAACAUUUGAGACUAGAAGGAUUUUUAUUCAACUUCUUGGAAACUUUCUUUUACCUUAUUCUUGGUAAUAUCUAUUUCAUUCUAAUCUCUGAUUAACCAUUUGGAUAAAAGAAGACUCAGCAUAUCUGUGUCUAUUAUGGAGCUGGCACUCGCACCAUAAAUCCUAUAGGUCCUCCACUAAAGGUAGGGAACCUUGAUGUUUCUAAAAUCAUUUUUUUAAAAAGCAAGGGUGGGGAUACUUAAAACGUAUGCUGUCUUGUAAACCUUCUUCAUCCAUCAUAAAGUAUAAAAACAGCACAGUCCCACUUAAGAUAAUUUGCAGGUUAGGUUUAAAGACAAUAUCACAUAGUUUAGGCCUAAAACUAAGCAUGGGGGGGAGGGGGAAUAGGCAAAAUAUGUAGUAGAAAAGACCCUGCAGUUCAGGAAACUUGAGUAAAUAAGAGUAAGGGAUGCAGGUUGGGGGUUUGAAACAGUCUACUGGCAAGGGUGGUAAACCCAGGCUGUCCCACUACCUGCAGCCCAUGGGCUCCAACCCAGGCACCAUUCCCCCUUCUGCUCUGGCUUCUGCUGCAGCCAGGAUCUCCAGUCUCUGGGCUCCUGCUCCCUCCUCCUGCUUCUGCUUCCCACCCCUGCCCCUGCCAGUACAGUAGGGCAGCACAGCCUGCAGCCUAGGGGCUCUUGGCCACUAAAAGGUUGGAUAGCCCUGCAUUAGAAAACAAUUUGUGCCCUUUUUCACAAGUCCUUUGCCUUUUUCACACUUGCAAUAAACAGGGUCAGGCUUUCCAGCACACGCUCAUAAACAUCCCGUGUAUUUUUAACCACCUGGUUUUGACAGCACUUCCUACAGGAAAUGCUGAUCUCACACGCUCCGACAGCAGCGCACCGAGCAUGACUGCUAAGCACCAGGCUGAAGGAAAUGCUAAUACUGAAACAAGUACACGGCUGCCUAGGGCAACAUGUGGGUUGUGGCUGUACCCCUCAGCACCUGCCAGCAACAAAGAAAAUUCAACUUGUACCAAUCACCUCUAAUAGGGCACCCCAUACAUGAAUUUCAUUCACUGGCAUGGGUAUAAAAAUGCAGACAGCAGCUAUGCCUAAAUAAAUCAGGCAGACUCAUGCAGAACAGAUUUUAUUGGUCAUGGGUUCAACCUCUAAAAAAACAUAUCACAGGCAGCAGGAUCUCUGCCAAGUCCUAACUCCCACAUAUAGUGGUAAACAGAAUGAGUAAGAUCACCUGAAAUAGUCACCUGACACUGACCUACGCUGCCAGAAAUGUGACAGCCACCCUCGGAGCUAAAGGGGGAUCUCCGUGAGAUGUCAGCAGGACAGAGCCUCUGACACUGCAGAAAUUAAUUCAACGUGAGUCAGGUGCAGAGGUGAACAUGAAAACGCGCGGUUUUCCUUGUCAGGGAAAGCAGGUAAGAGUCCCUUGUCUUCUACCAGAUGUUGGUUGGGAAGCUUUAUAUAAAGCCUUAGCAGUACAAAUGAAUGGCAACCACACACUAGUGGUCCCAGGCUUUACACUCCCCUAGUUCUCACGUGUCAAAAACUGCAGUAUAUGGAGAUUUACAAUAAUAGAAAUGGUUAGAGUGGAGGGCAAUGAAAAUGGUUGCGGGGCUGGAGCACACGACUUGUAAGGAGAGGCUGGGGGAACUGGGCUUAUUUAGUCUCAAGACGAGAAGACUGAGGGGGGAAUUAAUACCAGGGGGGUUCAAAAGAGGAUGGAGCUGGACUGUUCUCCGUCGGGGCAGAUGACAGGACAAGGAGCAAUGGGCUCAAGGUGCAGCAAGGAAGGUUUAGGUUGGAUAUUAGGAAAAACUCUUUCACUAGGAGGAUUGUAAAACAGUGGAGCAGGUUACCCAGAGAGGGGUGGAGUCUCCGUCCUUGGAGAUUUUUAAAGACCUGGCUACACAAAGCCUUGGCUGGGACGAUGUAGUUGGGGCUGGUCCUGCUUAGAGCAGGAGGUUAGACCAGAUGUGACCUCCUGAAAUGCCUUCCAACCCUCAUUUUCUGUGAUUUUAUGAAAGAAAAUGAGGUCCAGUUCUUAGGGAUUCCCUUUCCUUAGCUCUCCCCACUAGUUUUGUUUUGGGUUUUUUUGGUUUUUGUUGUUGUUGUUGUUGUUUGUUUUUUCUGGGGGGGGGGAGGGGGUGCAUAUUUUCUCCCAAAAAGCUAGAUCCACUUAGUCUGUUACAGAUGUGCUAAGACUGGGAACAGCUGUAACAGGGUGCAAACAUGACACCAGAUGCUUCACAGUGAAGCAUUUCACAAUGGUUCCCAUUUCAUCCACAGUCAUUUUUGAGUUGGAUAGGGCCAAUUUAAACUGCUUUUUCUGCAGGUGGCAUUUUCGGAGUACUUUAAAGACACCUAGAGCACUACAAAUCUUACAUCUACCCGUGCCCGCAGACUGAACCAGCAGUCUGCCUAGUCUGGCACCCAACUUCUGUCAGGGAUCAGUAAAAACUGCUGAAGAGGAAGUUCAAAAAACUUUUGCACAAAGUAGGUGUGGAGUAACUACCUGCAGGGAAGUAAUCUUUCCUAAAUUGAUUGGCAAGAAGCUAACUUUUGCAAAGGAGGAGGAUGGUGGAUAUCACUUCUAAACUUUGUUUUAAUUUAUAACAGUGUAAUAUUGUAGGACUUUUUCAUCCACAUAAAUGCUUAAAUGUUUUUUUUCACUGGGUUAGAAAUGUAUAGUACUCACCUCACACUUCCCUUUUACUUGCAAUAGCCACAAAAGGUCGAUUCUGUCCUUCAGGGAAUAUUUCUCUCUAAUUCAACACUUGUGGGAUGACAGAUCAGUGAAAAAGCAGCUCAAAUAGCGCCUUGUACAUGGUUGUCUGGAGAAUUGGGGACAUCAGAGAAAAGUCUGAAGUCUUUUUUUAAGAGACUGGGGGGUUUAGACACCUGAUGUUAGAGUCAAGUAUUUUCUUCCAAUCUGAGAUUUACUGGAAAAGUUUCAGACUACCUAACAGACCUGAAUAAAUUGCUAGUGAUUCAAGACCUUUAGGCCCAAGUGAGCGUGGCAGAUAUUCCCUAGAUGUAACAUCCAUCCCAUCCAGACCUGAGAUGAAGCAAAAACCCUCUCAGUUUAUGACAGAUUUUUCUGUUCUCCCUCAUGCCCGGGUUGCAUUCAGGACUCCUCACGAUCUGGGUUGCACUAAACGUGGGUUACUUGCUGACAAUCUUUCUUCUUUUUUGAAAAAAAGAAUUUCUCUCUUGAAGCAGCAUCUGCUUUGAACUGUUAGCAAGAUCAAGUGGCACAAAAAGGGAGUGGGGAUGGUGGCCAUCCCAAAUUUCUUAACAUCAGGGACAGGGCUCAGAUCUUUCUGCUUCAAAAGCUGCACGGGCUCUGCUGUAUUUGAACUGGAGGCGAAUCAGGUAGCAGAAGAUGGCAUGUGGCACACCUUUCUAAUGGAUACGUAUUCACAAUCUACAGAACAGAAAUGAUUGACCCCAUUGUGAAUAACUGACAAAUUACAGCUGUCUUUUUUUUCAUUUGUUAAAUGUCAACUAAUUGCGGGCAGUCCACAAAACAGGAAGAGGAUAUAAUCAUGGAAUAAGUUAUGUAUUCAGUCUGACUUUGCAGUGUCACUUGAAAAAUAAAAGUGGGGAUAGCCUUAGAGAAUAAACAAGACGUUUAACUGUGUCUAGGAGAACAGCAAGCAAAACGUAGGUGCAUCGUAGUGCCUGGAUGCACAGUCUCUUCGAGAGUCUGGGAAAGGCCUUAGCAGCUGCUCUAGUGUUAUCAUUAAACCAACAGCUCUGUCUGGAUAUCAGA
Alligator mississippiensis (American alligator) is the source of this 9918-nucleotide long non-coding RNA. RefSeq lists it as uncharacterized. The transcript has 5 exons. The record is from RefSeq and is a predicted model, not a curated record. NCBI's taxonomy places the organism in Eukaryota, Metazoa, Chordata, Crocodylia, Alligatoridae.